AUAGAAUAAAAUACUUAUUCCAGCUAGUUACACGACAUGUACGAUAGAUGACAGAUACAACAAAUUGGACAAUGGUCAGGUCCAAAUAAAUUAAUGAAAGAAACAUGCAAAAAGAAAUGGUACUGGUUUCCUAUAAUGAAGAGCAAUGAUAAGAAGCAUGCAUUCGAUCUGUUAACUUUCUUGAUCCAUACAAAUUUACAGAUACAGAUAAAUGAAGUUGAGCAUGAGGGAUUUGAACCUUCAAGUUGCAGUUGGCUAGUCCAUUUAUCCACAGAGAUAUAGCUAAAUGGUUGAAGUAUGGCUGCCAGUUGGGCUCCUGAGAAUUUGGUGUAUUUUUUAUGCAUCAGAUACAUGUACAUGAUGCUAAUAGGGCCAAGAUACUGCAACAUAGAGAAGAUUUCAGCAAACGUCUUACCGAUUUCUUAAAUUCUGAAUAAUUUCAUUCAAACAUAGCUUAAAGCUUUACCCCCAUACACAAUGUUGUAUGAAAUUUGUUUAAUUGAGUUCUCAUGAACCAUAACCUACAUGCUUCCAUCUACAUGUAAAUUGGAACAUUUCAUUUGCAAUUUCCACAACAUUGCAGAAGUUUCCAUUGGGUUACAAUGGUUAAGUUGUUUUUCCCUCACUUACACAACUGAAACCAAGAAGCUGUUCUUUUCGGAAAGUCAUUUAAUUGCCACUCAUCUUUAACAUAAUGAUCAACACCGUUCAUUAACUCAAAAAUGCCAAACCUGCCAAAAAGAUGCUUUUAAACAGAAAUUUUCCCAGGCAAAGCCAUCACAUGUUUUCAUACUUCCUCCAAUGAGGCUCUAUCUUUUAUGCCGAAGAUAAUUACACAUUUUUUAAUCUUACUAAAGAAUGCUCAAGUAUAUAAUAAUCAUUAGCAUCCGUUAAUUGUUAAUGGGCACUUGAAAAAUACUUCAGUAGUUUUAUAUUUUCCUCCCAAGGUUUUUAUGGCAGAUUGAUUCACAAAGAUGCUUAAACCUUUAUUUAUUCCCAUGAAAAUAGCCGAGCUUCAUUCAGAGAUUUCUCAAUUUUUAAAAACUCAAUUCCAGAGUCAUUUAUGAGCCUGGUUGUUGCUCAUAAUCACAUUUCUCUUUCUAUUUCUUCAAUAUUAAUAUGUUUUUAAUGUUUAAUAAAAGAUGUAAAACAU
Long non-coding RNA from Mytilus californianus (California mussel), 1153 nucleotides. RefSeq lists it as uncharacterized. The record is from RefSeq and is a predicted model, not a curated record. The transcript is spliced from 3 exons. NCBI's taxonomy places the organism in Eukaryota, Metazoa, Mollusca, Bivalvia, Mytilida, Mytilidae.